CUAAACUUACACUCUGGUGCAGUGGUUCUCAACCAAUUUAGCCCACCUAGGGAACAAUGGCAGUGUCUGGAGAUAUUUUUGGCCAUCACAACUGGGAGGAAGGAUGCACAAGCACGGAGUGGAAGGAGCUCUGUUCUUCGCCAUUUCUGCACACCAGACCGUUAUGUUCCAAUGGCGUUAGUCUUGGUUUAGCCUUUGGAUGAAAUAGUCAAUAUAUCACUACUUCAGAAGGACUGUAGCAAGGAUAAGGAAAAGAAUUCUGCAAGUUUACUGGAAAAGCAGAAAGAAUAGCUGGGAUGGUUAAGUUGCUAGGUCGUGUCUGACUCUCCUGCAACCCCAUGGACUACAGCCCACCAGGCUCAUC
Bubalus bubalis (water buffalo) is the source of this 364-nucleotide long non-coding RNA. RefSeq lists it as uncharacterized. NCBI's taxonomy places the organism in Eukaryota, Metazoa, Chordata, Mammalia, Artiodactyla, Bovidae. The record is from RefSeq and is a predicted model, not a curated record. The transcript is spliced from 4 exons.